RNAcentral lists this ribosomal RNA (587 nucleotides) under uncultured bacterium. RNAcentral's name for it is "bacterial SSU rRNA". It matches the Rfam family "Bacterial small subunit ribosomal RNA", at positions 338 to 916 of the family's 1533-position model. The record is from RNAcentral.
CCUACGGGAGGCAGCAGUAGGGAAUCUUCCGCAAUGGACGAAAGUCUGACGGAGCAACGCCGCGUGAGCGAUGAAGGCCUUCGGGUCGUAAAGCUCUGUUGUCAGGGAAGAACAAGUACCGGAGUAACUGCCGGUACCUUGACGGUACCUGACCAGAAAGCCACGGCUAACUACGUGCCAGCAGCCGCGGUAAUACGUAGGUGGCAAGCGUUGUCCGGAAUUAUUGGGCGUAAAGCGCGCGCAGGCGGUCCUUUAAGUCUGAUGUGAAAGCCCACGGCUCAACCGGGGAGGGUCAUUGGAAACUGGGGAACUUGAGUGCAGAAGAGGAGAGCGGAAUUCCACGUGUAGCGGUGAAAUGCGUAGAGAUGUGGAGGAACACCAGUGGCGAAGGCGGCUCUCUGGUCUGUAACUGACGCUGAGGCGCGAAAGCGUGGGGAGCGAACAGGAUUAGAUACCCUGGUAGUCCACGCCGUAAACGAUGAGUGCUAAGUGUUAGAGGGUUUCCGCCCUUUAGUGCUGCAGCAAACGCAUUAAGCACUCCGCCUGGGGAGUACGGCCGCAAGGCUGAAACUCAAAGGAAUUGACGG